Polypterus senegalus (gray bichir) is the source of this 165-nucleotide long non-coding RNA. RefSeq lists it as uncharacterized. NCBI's taxonomy places the organism in Eukaryota, Metazoa, Chordata, Cladistia, Polypteriformes, Polypteridae. The record is from RefSeq and is a predicted model, not a curated record. The transcript has 4 exons.
AAAUGUUUAGGAUCCGAAACCAGGAAAGGAUAUGUCAGGAUGAAAUUAUUCAGUUUCAAAAGCAGGAAAAGACAUUUCAGGAUCAUACUUGUACAACCCAAAACCUGGAAAGGAAAUGUCAGGAUAACAUCAGUACGAUCCGAAACGUGGAAAAGAAAGUGCAGG